AGCAGCCGCGGUAAUUCCAGCUCCAAUAGCGUAUAUUAAAGUUGUUGCAGUUAAAAAGCUCGUAGUUGAAUUUUGGAUUCUGCCAAUUGGUCCAUCUUUUAGAUGAGUACUGGUUGUGUGGGGUCUAUCCGCCUGGUGAUACGUAAUGUCCUUUAUUGGAUGUUGCGGGUAGUCAGGACCUUUACCUUGAAAAAAUUAGAGUGUUUAAAGCAGGCUUAUGCCGGAAUACAUUAGCAUGGAAUAAUAGAAUAGGACGAAGUUGUUUUAUUUUGUUGGUUUCUAGGACAACCGUAAUGAUUAAUAGGGAUAGUUGGGGGCAUUAGUAUUCAAUUGUCAGAGGUGAAAUUCUUGGAUUUAUUGAAGACUAACUACUGCGAAAGCAUUUGCCAAGGAUGUUUUCAUUAAUCAAGAACGAAAGUUAGGGGAUCGAAGACGAUCAGAUACCGUCGUAGUCUUAACCAUAAACUAUGCCGACUAGGGAUCGGAUGAUGUUAAUUUUCUAAUGACUCAUUCGGCACCU
RNAcentral lists this unclassified non-coding RNA (520 nucleotides) under uncultured Glomus. RNAcentral's name for it is "SSU rRNA". It matches the Rfam family "Eukaryotic small subunit ribosomal RNA", at positions 569 to 1088 of the family's 1831-position model. The record is from RNAcentral. Lineage: Eukaryota; Fungi; Glomeromycota; Glomeromycetes; Glomerales; Glomeraceae.